RNAcentral lists this transfer RNA (71 nucleotides) under Aphyosemion cognatum (redspot panchax). RNAcentral describes it as "tRNA-Gln". It matches the Rfam family "tRNA". Rfam says of the family: Transfer RNA (tRNA) molecules are approximately 80 nucleotides in length. Lineage: Eukaryota; Metazoa; Chordata; Actinopteri; Cyprinodontiformes; Nothobranchiidae. The record is from RNAcentral.
UAGGAAAUGGUGUAGUGGGAGCACUAAGAGUUUUGAUCUCUUCAGUGGGGGUUCAAGUCCUCUUUUUCUAA